AGAGUUUGAUCAUGGCUCAGAACGAACGCUGGCGGCGUGGAUAAGACAUGCAAGUCGUGCGGAAGAAAAUGGAUAGCAAUAUUCAGUUUCUUUAGCGGCGAAAGGGUGAGCAACACGUGGGUAAUUUGCCGCGAAGAUUGGAACAACUUGCCGAAAGGCGAGCUAAUGCCGAAUGUAAUCCUCGGGCGACAUCGUCUGUGGAUCAAAGCUGGGGACCGUAAGGCCUGGCGCUUCGCGAUAAACCCGCGUCCUAUCAGCUAGUUGGUGAGGUAACGGCUCACCAAGGCUAAGACGGGUAGCUGGUCUGAGAGGACGACCAGCCACACUGGAACUGAGACACGGUCCAGACACCUACGGGUGGCAGCAGUCGAGAAUUUUUCACAAUGGGCGAAAGCCUGAUGGAGCGACGCCGCGUGGGGGAUGAAUGGCUUCGGCCCGUAAACCCCUGUCAUUUGUGAACAAACCCUUUCUGAUAACACUAGAAAGGCUGAUAGUAGCAGAAUGA
Molecule: ribosomal RNA, 505 nt
Filed under: uncultured Verrucomicrobiales bacterium
Lineage: Bacteria; Pseudomonadati; Verrucomicrobiota; Verrucomicrobiia; Verrucomicrobiales
Description: bacterial SSU rRNA
Rfam family: Bacterial small subunit ribosomal RNA
Source: RNAcentral